RNAcentral lists this ribosomal RNA (253 nucleotides) under uncultured bacterium. Its description in RNAcentral is "partial 16S ribosomal RNA". It matches the Rfam family "Bacterial small subunit ribosomal RNA", at positions 524 to 776 of the family's 1533-position model. The record is from RNAcentral.
UACGAAGGGGGCUAGCGUUGUUCGGAAUCACUGGGCGUAAAGGGCGCGUAGGCGGCUUGACAAGUCAGGUGUGAAAGCCCCGGGCUCAACCCGGGAAUUGCACUUGAUACUGUCUGGCUAGAGUCCGGGAGAGGAUGGCGGAAUUCCCAGUGUAGAGGUGAAAUUCGUAGAUAUUGGGAAGAACACCGGUGGCGAAGGCGGCCAUCUGGACCGGUACUGACGCUGAGGCGCGAAAGCGUGGGGAGCAAACAGG